RNAcentral lists this ribosomal RNA (397 nucleotides) under uncultured bacterium. RNAcentral describes it as "partial 16S ribosomal RNA". It matches the Rfam family "Bacterial small subunit ribosomal RNA", at positions 523 to 918 of the family's 1533-position model. The record is from RNAcentral.
AUACGUAGGGGGCGAGCGUUGCCCGGAAUGAUUGGGCGUAAAGGGCGCGUAGGCGGCCCGGUAAGUCUGGAGUGAAAGUCCUGCUUUUAAGGUGGGAAUUGCUUUGGAUACUGUCGGGCUUGAGUGCAGGAGAGGUAAGUGGAAUUCCCAGUGUAACGGUGAAAUGCGUAGAGAUUGGGAGGAACACCAGUGGCGAAGGCGACUUACUGGACUGUAACUGACGCUGAGGCGCGAAAGUGUGGGGAGCAAACAGGAUUAGAUACCCUGGUAGUCCACACUGUAAACGAUGAAUGCUAGGUGUAGGGGGUAUCGACCCCUUCUGUGCCGCAGUUAACACAAUAAGCAUUCCGCCUGGGGAGUACGGCCGCAAGGUUGAAACUCAAAUGAAUUGACGGGG